RNAcentral lists this ribosomal RNA (399 nucleotides) under Triticum aestivum (bread wheat). RNAcentral describes it as "partial small subunit ribosomal RNA". Lineage: Eukaryota; Viridiplantae; Streptophyta; Magnoliopsida; Poales; Poaceae. The record is from RNAcentral.
AUGUUAAAAGAGUCUGAGUGGGGACACUCUAUUUGGAAAGGGAUUUUGUACAGUUUUUCUGCAAGUUACUACCUCAUUAGUGGACUGGCCUACAUAGUAUUCAUAAAAAUUAAUCAUCCAAUUCCCUGUAUGUGUCCUUGGUCACAUUUUUUGUCUGUUCAAUUUUUGGAAACCCACAUCUUAUUUGAAUUGAAACUGCUGACUGCUUUGACUGAUCCUGACCGAGUCCACACACCAUCACUUACAGAAUACUGGAAGCCACUUGCAGAAGAUGUAAACUUGCAGAUGGACACAUCUGCCAGAGAGACGGCGGCCAUGAGAGCCGGAAGAUCACAAGAGAUCGACCUUUUGGGUAGUCUAAUACUUCCUAUAUGGGCACAUAGAAAAGCCACUACGUAA